GGAGACACCCCCUUGGACAAGCAUGACCUUGUCCGAUGAGUAGAGAGUUGGCACAUCCCUGUGGUAGGGAAUCUUGUUUCUUGCACUUCCUAGGAUACAGCAUAGCAACACUUGCCUGGCAUUCUACUGGCUCAAUUAGGUCCCAAUUGAGCCAUAGAUAAAUGAUUCAUGUGCAUGCAUGUAAAUAACUUGUUAGUGGUUAUGUUUUAGCAAAGAAACAAAAGCUGACAUUAGAAUCAACAAAUAAGAUAAAUAACGCUAUAAAAUCAAUGGACCAAAACUUAACCUUGAAGACUAGAACUAAUCGGUUGUGGUAGCCAAAUGAGAGGUGGGCAGUACUAGGAAUCCAGUGUGGAACUAUGGAUGGGAUUCGAUGUGUAUGCA
RNAcentral lists this long non-coding RNA (384 nucleotides) under Elaeis guineensis (African oil palm). RNAcentral describes it as "long non-coding RNA (EGUI_LNC024160)". Lineage: Eukaryota; Viridiplantae; Streptophyta; Magnoliopsida; Arecales; Arecaceae. The record is from RNAcentral.